UACGUAGGGUGCAAGCGUUGUCCGGACUUAUUGGGCGUAAAGAGCUCGUAGGCGGUCUGUCGCGUCGGAUGUGAAAAUCCAGGGCUCAACCCUGGACCUGCAUUCGAUACGGGCAGACUAGAGUUCGGUAGGGGAGACUGGAAUUCCUGGUGUAGCGGUGAAAUGCGCAGAUAUCAGGAGGAACACCGGUAGCGAAGGCGGCACUCUGGGCCGUGACUGACGCUGAGGAGCGAAAGCGUGGGGAGCAAACAGG
RNAcentral lists this ribosomal RNA (253 nucleotides) under uncultured bacterium. RNAcentral describes it as "partial 16S ribosomal RNA". It matches the Rfam family "Bacterial small subunit ribosomal RNA", at positions 524 to 776 of the family's 1533-position model. The record is from RNAcentral.